RNAcentral lists this ribosomal RNA (467 nucleotides) under uncultured bacterium. RNAcentral's name for it is "partial 16S ribosomal RNA". It matches the Rfam family "Bacterial small subunit ribosomal RNA", at positions 28 to 507 of the family's 1533-position model. The record is from RNAcentral.
GACGAACGCUGGCGGCGUGCUUAACACAUGCAAGUCGAACGGAAAGGCCCUGCUUUUGCGGGGUGCUCGAGUGGCGAACGGGUGAGUAACACGUGAGUAACCUGCCCUUGACUUUGGGAUAACUUCAGGAAACUGGGGCUAAUACCGGAUAGGAGCUCCUGCUGCAUGGUGGGGGUUGGUAAGUUUGGCUGUUGGGGAUGGAUUUGGCGGUUACCAGCUUGUUGGGGGGGGAGUGGCCUACCAAGGCUUUGACGGGUAGCCGACCUGAGAGGGUGACCGGGCACCUUGGGCCUGAGAUACGGCCCAGAAUGCUACGGGAGGCAGCAGUGGGGAAUCUUGCACAAUGGGCGGAAGCCUGAUGCAGCAACGCCGCGUGCGGGAUGACGGCCUUCGGGUUGUAAACCGCUUUCGCCUGUGACGAAGCGUGAGUGACGGUAAUGGGUAAAGAAGCACCGGCUAACUACGUG